GGCUAAUUCCGUGCCAGCAGCCGCGGUAAUCCGGAGGUGCAAGCGUUAUUGGAAUUACUGGGCGUAAAGCGCACGCAGGCGGUCUGUCAAGUCGGAUGGAAAUCCCCGGGCUCAACCUGGGAACUGCAUUCGAAACUGGCAGGCUAGAGUCUUGUAGAGGGGGGUAGAAUUCCAGGUGUAGCGGUGAAAUGCGUAGAGAUCUGGAGGACUACCGGUGGCGAAGGCGGCCCCCUGGACAAAGACUGCCGCUCAGGUGCGAAAGCGUGGGGAGCAACCAGGAUUAGAUACCCUGGUAGUCCACGCCGUAAACGAUGUCGAUUUGGAGGUUGUGCCCUUGAGGCGUGGCUUCCGGAGCUAACGCGUUAAAUCGACCGCCUGGGGAGUACGGCCGCAAGGUUAAAACUCAAAUGAAUUGACGGGGGCCCGCACAAGCGGUGGAGCAUGUGGUUUAAUUGGAUGCAACGCGAAGAACCUUACCUGGUCUUGACAUCCACAGAACUUCCCAGAGAUGAUUUGGUCCCUUCGGGAAUUGUGAGACAGGUGCUGCAUGGCGGUCGUCAGCUCGUGUUGUGAAAUGUUGGGUUAAGUCCCGCAACGAGCGCAACCCUUAUCCUUUGUUGCCACCGGUUAGGCCGGGCACUCAAAGGAGACUGCCAGUGAUAAACUGGAGGAAGGUGGGGAUGACGUCAAGUCAUCAUGGCCCUUACGACCAGGGCUACACACGUGCUACAAUGGCGCAUACAAAGAGAAGCGACCUCGCGAGAGCAAGCGGACCUCAUAAAGUAUGUCGUAGUCCGGAUUGCAGUCUGCAACUCGACUCCAUGAAGUCGGAAUCGCUAGUAAUCGUAGAUCAGAAUGCUACGGUGAAUACGUUCCCGGGCCUUGUACACACCGCCCGUCACACCAUGGGAGUGGG
Molecule: ribosomal RNA, 916 nt
Filed under: Klebsiella pneumoniae
Lineage: Bacteria; Pseudomonadati; Pseudomonadota; Gammaproteobacteria; Enterobacterales; Enterobacteriaceae
Description: bacterial SSU rRNA
Rfam family: Bacterial small subunit ribosomal RNA
Source: RNAcentral